ACCAAAUUCUUUAAACUAGGGAAGAAGUUUGAGAUUACUUUGAUCUGACAUUUCACACAUCGUGUGCACCUCAUUGUGUAGUGAAGCUACACUGCAGCAGUGGUGGCAGGAGUUUUUUUUUUUUGAACCCACAAGCAUUGCACUUAUAAGCUCACAAAUUUGCAGCAAAAGGAUAUAAUCAACUGCUGAAGUCAUCUAGAAAAUGGUACUAUCAGUUGUUAUGGAACAAGUGAUCAGUGUGAGCUCAGCCUUCAUAUUUUUAGUACAUGUCAUUUAUGAAUCAUGCAAUUAGUUCUUGAUAAUUCCAUUUGUUAGUUUAUAUUCAAACUAACCUUUAGUUUUUUUUCUGAAAAGGAUGGCAUGCCAAAAAAUUAUAUCAAACCAACAGAAAUUAGCAAAAGCAAAAGGAUAGAUCAGCAGUCCUAAUAUUCCAUGUUUUUUUAAUUGGC
RNAcentral lists this long non-coding RNA (449 nucleotides) under Setaria italica (foxtail millet). RNAcentral's name for it is "long non-coding RNA (SITA_LNC005258)". The record is from RNAcentral. Lineage: Eukaryota; Viridiplantae; Streptophyta; Magnoliopsida; Poales; Poaceae.